Mauremys reevesii (Reeves's turtle) is the source of this 3216-nucleotide long non-coding RNA. RefSeq lists it as uncharacterized. The transcript is spliced from 3 exons. The record is from RefSeq and is a predicted model, not a curated record. Lineage: Eukaryota; Metazoa; Chordata; Testudines; Geoemydidae.
UAAGCCUGCCAGGAUCUGCCUUUUAUCAUGUUUACCUCUUCCCAGCAGGCUUUGCUCCUAGCCCUUAGUCAUGUGAUCUGGAAGGAGUGGGAGAAAUCAGGCACAGGUCUAAACUGGGAAUUGAACCUCCUAAAGGUACAGCUUGCCCCCUGCCAUGUACUGGGAGGUCCUUCUUGAGUGCAGCCAGAAAGAAGUUUUAUGAGCUGCAGGCCUGCAUGCUUGAUGCCUUGCCUAUGCAAACGAGGAUGAAAUUCACAAGGAAAGAGGCCAACUGCAUUUUAUUAACAGAGCUAUUUUCUUCUUGUCAUGGACCCAUUCUCAUGUGUCAGCGUCAUGCUUGGAUGAAGAGGAAGCUUUGCUGAGACACAUGUUGGGGAACAAGUGCCGUCAGAGACCAUAGCCUGGGCAUCCCUCCAGCAUGGGCUCUGUGGGCCUCAGAAGGCCAAAGACUCUGAUGCAGUCUGCUGGAUGAACUUUGACGCACGCCCUUGGAUCAGCAGGGCUCUGAGUUUUGCCAGGGGAGCUAUUUCUCAGUGGAUGCCACUGAUGCUCACACCUUCACAGCUGCAAGCAAGGGUGGAGCGUGCUACAUGUUCCUGGCUAACGUCUUGUUGGGUGAGUCAUCGUGUGGGAAGGAACACUACCCUCAGGUAGGCCCCAAAACAGGGGCCUGGCAGGCUGCACUAUGACUCGUGCCACAACGGGAAACCCUGUUCCCAACCCAAAAGCCAUCUCAGCAUCUACGUGAUCUUCCACAGCUGCCAGUGCUAUCCAUAUUUGCUGAUCUGCUACAAAAUGCUCUCGGAUCCCGUGAGGCUGGAUAGCUGACGGCACCGGGAGGAGUAGCCAGGUCAUACGUAAGAGAAACCCUGUCAAGUUCAUAGCAGCUUUGCUAAUCAGAGCUCCGGCCUCUGGGGAGUGUCUGCUUUCUGUCUUUCCAAUCUUCACAACCCUAUAAAAUACUCUUGACAUCCCACACAUAUGCACCAAAUGUGUGCGUCCCCUGUUCUGUUGCAUGCAAAAACCAUCCCAGCUCAUUCACAGAGAAUCCCGUCCUCCACCCCCCCUUCACCUCCCUUCUUAUUGUUGUUGCUUCCAUUGGCAUCAUGGGUGGACCCCUGUAGAAUCCCGCAAGGGUGGACCCCCAAACCCAGGUAGAUGCUAUUCCCUUAGACAGUCAGAAGGGGUCACUGUUCAGUAAGAAGUGUCAUCCAUCCCUCUUUCCUACUCUCUCAUGGGUUCUGAGGAACGUGGUGAAAUUUCCAUUUGUGGCCCCAAAUGCUACUCUUAUAAAAUAUUAUUCUUCCCUCCUCAUCUCUACAUCCUUUCUCACUCUGCAUAAUAUAUGUUUAUGCAUAGAUCAUUGACAGGGGAUGUUGUUAGAGCUCCUGCUCUUUGUUACGUUGAUUAUUGAGUCAAAUUUUACAGAUCCAUUUACUGCUGUUCUUUGUUACCUCUUUUGCUAUGCUUACUUUGGUUCAAAUUCAUUUGCAAUUGUUGUUGUUCUGAUCCUUGCUCAUCUGGACAAUUUUCUGGCCUUUAAUAUAAUUUGAAAUGGGCUGAAAGAAUGAGUGUCUUUAUUAUCCAGGACCAAUUAAUUUGAUCCUCCCUUAAAUCUACUCAAAUCCUUGCGUACAAAUAAUUGCCAUUUAAAAACAGCUCACGUGAUUCACUAGCCUGGUGCAAGGGACAUGUUUCCAUUCUCCAACCUGUGCUAGCCUCCUGAUUCAUCUUCCUGUCUAAAACUGACACUCACCUCCAUCUUCCUUUCCCUUGUCAUACUGCCAUUGGAGACCAUGUCCAAUCCUAGACCUGCAUUGAAUAUUGGCCACCUUACCUCUGAUCUCCAAACUACCCCUGCCUAUGUCAGAAACCCGCCCUGAGUCCCAACCUCUGCCUCUCCUGCCCUCUCUCUGUCAUAACCAACCCUAAAUCCUAUCAUGAGAUAUCAGUUAAUCAAAGUUCUAUGCAUCAGGACAUUAUACAAUUUACCCUUUUAAAAAUAAAGGCUCCUUCUCUAAAGUUCCCACCUGGGCAGGAUUUUCACUCGGGGGAUUUGUGUUCCCCAGUGUGUGAGACAGAACUAUACAAACUCUAAGGAUUUUUGAUCCCUAAGGACACUGGUAGCUGGCUGGGAAGACAGACAGACAGACACUUUGUGCAUCUGCUUCAUUUCUGUAUAUUCUAGUAGCCUAUAAACCUAACAGGCAAAGUUGAAGAGAACCACAAACACCUUUUGGGUCACAGUAAGGGGAGCGCCUUAGAUUUGUCUGUGUCAUUAAAAGCUUCAGGGAGUACCAUUAAGAUAGCUCUGUAAAAACAAAUACCAUAUUUACUCUGACCUGAACCUUCAUGAAAACUGUCCCAAAAAAACAUUUUGUAAAGGAAAAAAAAUGGAUUUCAGUAGAGAGAGAGAGGGCAGAGGAAUUAGAAGAGAGUGUAAACUCUGAACCUGUCCUAUUUGGCAGUGGCUAACUGCUAUUAUGUAUAUUAGCAGAUCAUGUAGCUAGCUACCUAUGGUUUUUCAAACUGCUGCUUCCCGCAGCCCAACAAACUUCAGAAAUGAAAAUGGACCUGGCCAACUUUCCUUCAGUGGGGCACUGAAUUGAACUGAAACUCUGAGCCAUUGGACCUUUUCCCAUCCUGAUUCUAUCCAUCACCUCCUAAUCUUCCAGUCCAGGAUCUAACUGAACCCUUUCUAUGGACUUGAUUCUGCCACUUCCGCUCACGUUCAUUAGCAUUUUACUUUAGGUGUCGACUCAUUGAAAUCAGCAGGACUGUCGGUGUAGUAAGGGACUACCCACUGUAACAAUGGCAGAUUCUGGCCCUGUAUUUCUGUGUAACACCACAGAAUGAAGGGAUCCAUGUAAUGGACUCCUUAGGGUUACAUUGUGCAACCCUUCCUCAUACUCAGUGGAAAUGCUUGUGUGAGAUAAUGCCCAUCAGCCUGAGCGAAGGCUGCACGCUUUGCUCCGUAGCAAGUCCUCUCAGUUGAAUGAACAUUAAAGAUAACCGAAAAGGAGAUGCUUAUUUGAAGACUGUUUUUUGUUCACGAGGGGCUGAAUCUAAAACUCUGGGUUCAUUCAUCCAAGCUUCGGUGACAAUCUGAGCCAGAUCUGAUCUACUUUUCUUGCUUUAGCUCAUCUCAGGUUUUGGUCACUUCCCGCCACUGCUCCAACUCAAAGUAGCCCAGUCUAGAGUAUCCAAAGUUUUCCA